RNAcentral lists this ribosomal RNA (253 nucleotides) under uncultured bacterium. RNAcentral describes it as "partial 16S ribosomal RNA". It matches the Rfam family "Bacterial small subunit ribosomal RNA", at positions 524 to 776 of the family's 1533-position model. The record is from RNAcentral.
UACGGAGGAUGCAAGCGUUAUCCGGAUUCAUUGGGUUUAAAGGGUGCGUAGGCGGAACAAUAAGUCAGUGGUGAAAUCCUACAGCUUAACUGUAGAACUGCCAUUGAUACUGUCGUUCUUGAAUGCAGUUGAGGUUAGCGGAAUGUGUAAUGUAGCGGUGAAAUGCGUAGAUAUUACACAGAACACCUAUUGCGUAGGCAGCUGACUAAACUGUGAUUGACGCUGAGGCACGAAAGCGUGGGGAUCAAACAGG